RNAcentral lists this ribosomal RNA (119 nucleotides) under Phaseolus vulgaris (common bean). The record is from RNAcentral. Lineage: Eukaryota; Viridiplantae; Streptophyta; Magnoliopsida; Fabales; Fabaceae.
UGGUGUGAUCAUACCAGCACUAAUGCACCAGAUCCCAUCAGAACUCCGUAGUGAAGCGUGCUUGGGAGUGAGUAGUAUUAGAACGGGUGACCUCCUGGUAAGUUCUCGUGUAGUACUUC